This 392-nucleotide ribosomal RNA is filed under the name uncultured bacterium. RNAcentral's name for it is "bacterial SSU rRNA". It matches the Rfam family "Bacterial small subunit ribosomal RNA", at positions 32 to 389 of the family's 1533-position model. The record is from RNAcentral.
GACGAAACGCUGGCGGCGUGCCUAAUACAUGCAAGUCGAACGCUUCUUUUUCCACCGGAGCUUGCUCCACCGGAAAAAGAGGAGUGGCGAACGGGUGAGUAAACACGUGGGUAAACCUGCCCAUCAGAAGGGGAUAACACUUGGAAAACAGGUGCUAAAUACCGUAUAACAAAUCGAAAACCGCAUGGUUUUGAUUUGAAAAGGCACUUUCGGGUGUCGCUGAUGGAUGGACCCGCGGUGCAUUAGCUAGUUGGUGAGGUAACGGCUCACCAAGGCGACGAUGCAUAGCCGACCUGAGAGGGUGAUCGGCCACAUUGGGACUGAGACACGGCCCAAACUCCUACGGGAGGCAGCAGUAGGGAAUCUUCGGCAAUGGACGAAAAGUCUGACCG